RNAcentral lists this ribosomal RNA (433 nucleotides) under uncultured bacterium. Its description in RNAcentral is "partial 16S ribosomal RNA". It matches the Rfam family "Bacterial small subunit ribosomal RNA", at positions 29 to 507 of the family's 1533-position model. The record is from RNAcentral.
AACGAACGCUGGCGGCAUGCCUAACACAUGCAAGUCGAACGAGACCUUCGGGUCUAGUGGCGCACGGGUGCGUAACGCGUGGGAAUCUGCCCUUGGGUUCGGAAUAACAGUUGGAAACGACUGCUAAUACCGGAUGAUGACGUAAGUCCAAAGAUUUAUCGCCCAGGGAUGAGCCCGCGUAGGAUUAGCUGGUUGGUGGGGUAAAGGCCUACCAAGGCGACGAUCCUUAGCUGGUCGGAGAGGAUGAUCAGCCACACUGGGACUGAGACACGGCCCAGACUCCUACGGGAGGCAGCAGUGGGGAAUAUUGGACAAUGGGCGAAAGCCUGAUCCAGCAAUGCCGCGUGAGUGAUGAAGGCCUUAGGGUUGUAAAACUCUUUUACCCGGGAUGAUAAUGACAGUACCGGGAGAAUAAGCCCCGGCUAACUCCGUG